GUUUGAGUUUGAUUGUUAAGUGGUAUACUCAUUGUUGUGAAGGAUUAACACGAAAUCAGCUUGGGGGUAAUGAAUCCAACUUCUGGUGAAUGAUGUAGUGACUUGCAGGCCUUUUUUCGGCCAACUCCUGCCAUGGCCAAGAGCACCAGUGGACUUAGAAUCGAGCCGUACAAUCCUGGUGUCAAGGCACUCCCUUGUUGGUAUCUUCGAGGUGUCGACCAGCACGUGCCUUCCCUGGUGUUUGGAGGAUAUCGGGGUCGAAGGUGUCAAUUGAGAUAGGUAUCCCACAAAGAAUGAAUAAGGUACACGAUCUUUCAUUCAUCUUAUCAUUUUUAAUUAAAUUUGUUGUCGAGACUAUUUCCUGUUAUAUUGUUUUAUUUUAGGAUUGUAAUCAGGUAAUAAUUAAUUUGAGUUUUCUUAGGAUAUCUCUAAUGGAGAGGAAGAAAAGUCUAAAAGGAAAAAAUUACCUGAUUUGUUUAAAAAUUCAUCUCCAACCGAUAACUGGGUUAUAAUUUUAUGGAGCACACCAGACCAUUAUUUGGCCAAAAGGGCAACACAUGGCCAAAUGUAACCCCCCCCCCCCAAUCUUAGCUUUUUUUUAGGGGCCUAGCUCCUCAUUUGUAAUAAUUUAUUCAAAUUUGACGGCUAGAUUUGAAAACAUCCAACAAUAAUGUAAUUAAAUUAACCAAUAAUUUAAAGUAUAAACUUAAAAUUAAUAAAAUAUUGAGGGGGCUAUUUAGCCUAUCCGGUGGAGAUUGUAUAUGAGUAUGGUUUGAUAUUGUUCAUUUAAAAAUAAUUUUUUGCAAGGCUAUAAUUUUGGAUGGGGUUAUGUUUAGCCUUUUCGAUUGGAGAUGACCUUAGUUUGAGGUCAUAGAGGGACCGGGUGGGGGGGGGGGUGUUCCAUGGUGGCCCUGGCUCCUUCUAAUUGGUUUGGGUGGGAAAAAGGUACGUUGGAUUUGUAGCUACAAUCUCAUUCCUGAUGUGUAGUCUGGCUUGCCUAGUCUCUUAUGGUAUAUGUGUUAGAAACCAAUCAAAUGUCACUUAUACAAUAUAUAUAAUUUGCAUAGUUUAUUUUGAAUAAGAAAUUCAACAACAGAUACAAUAAAUAUCAAAAUAUAAACACUUAAGUAAAUUGCAUAUGAAAUCACAAAUCACUGACUUGUUCUUUGAAGAUAGAGGCUUGCAAAUGCAAUCACCUAAGACAGAAAUUUGCCCCUACACCCAUGCAGUAGUUCAAUGGACGUCUAUCUUGCAGGAUACAACUAUCUAAUCCAAGUUCUUGCACUCGAACUUGGAUUCUUGGCUAAUUGGUUGUGCACUUCUCUGUGUAAGAUGGAAAAGGAAGCGGUGGAAAUUUUAUAUUUUAGUUUCUGAUCUUAUUGCCAUAUAUAUAAUGGCGUAACUUGAACAAAUGUAACCGUUCAUUCUUAACAGUUUUAAAACGGACAUACAUGUUCAAU
Non-coding RNA from Malus domestica (apple), 1460 nucleotides. The record is from RefSeq and is a predicted model, not a curated record. Lineage: Eukaryota; Viridiplantae; Streptophyta; Magnoliopsida; Rosales; Rosaceae.